RNAcentral lists this ribosomal RNA (484 nucleotides) under uncultured bacterium. RNAcentral's name for it is "partial 16S ribosomal RNA". It matches the Rfam family "Bacterial small subunit ribosomal RNA", at positions 30 to 507 of the family's 1533-position model. The record is from RNAcentral.
AUUGAAUGCUGGCGGCCGGACUCUCGCCUGCAAGUCGAGCUGUUGACGGGUGCUUGCUCCUGGAUUCAGCGGCGGACGGGUGAGUAAUGCCUAGGAAUCUGCCUGGUAGUGGAGGCUAACGUCCGGUUCCGGGCGAUAAUGCCGCAUACGUCCUGAGGGAGAGAGACGGGGUCAUUCGGACCUCCCUCUAUCAGAUGAGCAUAGGUCGGAUUAGCUAGUUGGUGGGGUAAAGGCAUACCAAGGCGACGAUCCGUAACUGGUCUGAGAGGAUGAUCAGUUAAACUGAAUCUGAGACAGUAGCGAGAGGACUACGGGAGGAAGUAGUGGGGAAUAUUGGACAAUGGGCAGAAACCUGAUCCAGCCAAGUCGCGUGAGGGAAGAAGGUCUUCGGAUAGGAAAGCACGUUAAGUUGGGAGGAAGGGCAGGAAGUUAAAAACUCGCUGUUGUGACGGUAACAACAGAAUAAGCACCGGCUAACUUAGUG